GCCCGCUCAGAAACUUAAAUAGAAUUGACGGGGCCCGCACAAGCGGUGGAGUAUGUGGUUUAAUUCGAUGCAACGCGAAGAACCUUACCUGGUCUUGACAUCCCGGAGACCCUUAGGAAACUAGGGGGUGCUUCCAUCUGGAAGAAUCUGGAGACAGGUGCUGCAUGGCUGUCGUCAGCUCGUGUCGUGAGAUGUUGGGUUAAGUCCCGCAACGAGCGCAACCCUUGCCUUUAGUUGCCAGCAGUUCGGCUGGGCACUCUAAAGGGACUGCCGGUGUUAAACCGGAGGAAGGUGGGGAUGACGUCAAGUCCUCAUGGCCUUUAUGACCAGGGCUACACACGUACUACAAUGGCCGAUACAAAGGGCAGCGACACUGCGAGGUGAAGCCAAUCCCGUAAAAUCGGUCUCAGUCCGGAUUGGAGUCUGCAACUCGACUCCAUGAAGUUGGAAUCGCUAGUAAUCGUGGAUCAGCAUGCCACGGUGAAUACGUUCCCGGGCCUU
RNAcentral lists this ribosomal RNA (501 nucleotides) under uncultured Desulfobulbus sp. RNAcentral's name for it is "bacterial SSU rRNA". It matches the Rfam family "Bacterial small subunit ribosomal RNA", at positions 903 to 1382 of the family's 1533-position model. Lineage: Bacteria; Pseudomonadati; Thermodesulfobacteriota; Desulfobulbia; Desulfobulbales; Desulfobulbaceae. The record is from RNAcentral.